RNAcentral lists this ribosomal RNA (498 nucleotides) under uncultured bacterium. Its description in RNAcentral is "partial 16S ribosomal RNA". It matches the Rfam family "Bacterial small subunit ribosomal RNA", at positions 28 to 507 of the family's 1533-position model. The record is from RNAcentral.
GAUGAACGCUGGCGGCGUGCCUAAUACAUGCAAGUCGAGCGAACGGACGAGAAGCUUGCUUCUCUGAUGUUAGCGGCGGACGGGUGAGUAACACGUGGAUAACCUACCUAUAAGACUGGGAUAACUUCGGGAAACCGGAGCUAAUACCGGAUAAUAUUUUUGAACCGCAUGGUUCAAAAGUGAAAGACGGUCUUGCUGUCACUUAUAGCUGGAUCCGCGCUGCAUUAGCUAGUUGGUAAGGUAACGGCUUACCAAGGCAACGAUGCAUAGCCGACCUGAGAGGGUGAUCGGCCACACUGGAACUGAGACACGGUCCAGACUCCUACGGGAGGCAGCAGUAGGGAAUCUUCCGCAAUGGGCGAAAGCCUGACGGAGCAACGCCGCGUGAGUGAUGAAGGUCUUCGGAUCGUAAAACUCUGUUAUUAGGGAAGAACAUAUGUGUAAGUAACUGUGCACAUCUUGACGGUACCUAAUCAGAAAGCCACGGCUAACUACGUG